UACGGAGGGUGCAAGCGUUGUCCGGAUUUAUUGGGUUUAAAGGGUGCGUAGGUGGCGUCUUAAGUCUGGUUUGAAAGCAGGCGGCUUAACCGUCUGAUGUGGCUGGAAACUGGGAUGCUUGAAUGCGUUGGCGGUAGCCGGAACGGGUCAUGUAGCGGUGAAAUGCAUAGAUAUGACCCAGAACACCGAUUGCGAAGGCAGGCUACUACGACGUGAUUGACACUGAGGCACGAGAGCAUGGGUAGCGAACAGG
This 253-nucleotide ribosomal RNA is filed under the name uncultured bacterium. RNAcentral's name for it is "partial 16S ribosomal RNA". It matches the Rfam family "Bacterial small subunit ribosomal RNA", at positions 524 to 776 of the family's 1533-position model. The record is from RNAcentral.